GAUGAAGAACGUAGCGAAAUGCGAUAAGUAAUGCGAAUUGCAGAAUUCCAGUGAGUCAUCGAAUCUUUGAACGCACAUUGCGCCUGCCAGCACUCUGGCAGGCAUGCCUGUUCGAGCGUCAUUUCAACCAUCAAGCCCUAGGCUUGCGUUGGAGCCCUGCGGCUGCCGCAGGCCCCUAAAAGCAGUGGCGGGCUCGCUAUCACACCGAGUGCAGUAGAUUACUCUUCGCUCAGGGCGUGUGGCGGGUUCCAGCCGUGAAACCCCCUACUUCUCAAGGUUGACCUCGGAUCAGGUAGGAAUACCCGCUGAACUUAAGCAUAUCAAUAAGCGGAGGA
This 335-nucleotide unclassified non-coding RNA is filed under the name soil metagenome. RNAcentral describes it as "partial contains 5.8S ribosomal RNA, internal transcribed spacer 2, and large subunit ribosomal RNA". The stretch from base 1 to 121 matches the Rfam family "5.8S ribosomal RNA", at positions 35 to 154 of the family's 154-position model. The record is from RNAcentral.